RNAcentral lists this ribosomal RNA (330 nucleotides) under uncultured soil bacterium. RNAcentral's name for it is "bacterial SSU rRNA". It matches the Rfam family "Bacterial small subunit ribosomal RNA", at positions 26 to 367 of the family's 1533-position model. The record is from RNAcentral.
AGAUUGAACGCUGGCGGCAUGCCUAACACAUGCAAGUCGAAUGGGAGUAGCAAUACUCUAGUGGCGGACGGGUGAGGAAUACGUAGGAAUUUGCCCUUAAGUGGGGGAUAACCCGGGGAAACCCGGAUUAAUACCGCAUGACCUCGAAAGAGCAAAGUGGGGGAUCGCAAGACCUCACGCUUUUGGAGAAGCCUACGUCGGAUUAGCUAGUUGGUGAGGUAAUGGCUCACCAAGGCGACGAUCCGUAACUGGUCUGAGAGGAUGAUCAGUCACACCGGAACUGAGACGACGGUCCGGACUCCUACGGGAGGCAGCAGUGGGGAAUAUUGG